Molecule: ribosomal RNA, 243 nt
Filed under: uncultured Actinomycetales bacterium
Lineage: Bacteria; Bacillati; Actinomycetota; Actinomycetes; Actinomycetales
Description: partial 16S ribosomal RNA
Rfam family: Bacterial small subunit ribosomal RNA
Source: RNAcentral
GCUCGAGUGGCGAACGGGUGAGUAACACGUGAGUAACCUGCCCUUGACUUUGGGAUAACUUCAGGAAACUGGGGCUAAUACCGGAUAGGAGCUCCUGCUGCAUGGUGGGGGUUGGAAAGUUUCGGCGGUUGGGGAUGGACUCGCGCUUAUCAGCUUGUUGGUGGGGUAGUGGCUUACCAAGGCUUUGACGGGUAGCCGGCCUGAGAGGGUGACCGGCCACAUUGGGACUGAGAUACGGCCCAG